Molecule: long non-coding RNA, 645 nt
Filed under: Chinchilla lanigera (long-tailed chinchilla)
Lineage: Eukaryota; Metazoa; Chordata; Mammalia; Rodentia; Chinchillidae
Description: lncRNA (ENSCLAG00000027805.1)
Source: RNAcentral
GGUAUUUUGUCUUCAGCAAUGGGAGAAAAGUAACUAAGACAGACUGUCAGCCUAGAACUCCCAGCCUGGCGCUAGGGCACAGCUGGCCUAGGACCAAUGAGUGCAACCUCCUCCAUGUACCUCGGGAAGGCUGGGGAAGGAGCGGCCACUCUCUGUCUCCUCAGGGAAACAGGAACUAAAAUGAAGACAAGAGAUCAAGGUGUCACCCUGCCGAGUUCCACAGGAACCAUGACAACAACCCUGGAUAGACCCGCACCUGCCUGGGAAACGGAAACUCCUAUUUCUCAACAAAAUCUACCUAAGCUCAAAGGUGAGAUCCACAAAGAGUUUCAAAGAUCAGUGUAGAUUAUUACUGGGAAGAAUCCAAAUGCUUGCAUAGGCCCAAGGAAAACAUUCAAAGGCCAGUGACACGUGAGCAGUGAAGGAACUGAAGACAGAAAGCAAACAAAAUAAAUUCCAAAUCAAACAAGAAUGUCCCAUUUUCCAGAUACCAGAUGAGCAAAAACAUUACAGAUUGCUGCGAUGCAGAGUUGGUGAGGGUGUGGGUGAACAGGUGCUCUCCUGUUGGGGGCAGUAAGGUGAGCCCCAUCUCUUUUGGAGAACAAUACGUAAUAGUUUUGGGUGAAAUGUGGUCCACUGAGAUAU